CCUACGGGUGGCUGCAGUGGGGAAUAUUGGACAAUGGGGGGAACCCUGAUCCAGCCAUGCCGCGUGUGUGAAGAAGGCCCUCGGGUUGUAAAGCACUUUCAGUGAGGAAGAACGCCUGGUGGUUAAUACCCAUCAGGAAAGACAUCACUCACAGAAGAAGCACCGGCUAACUCCGUGCCAGCAGCCGCGGUAAUACGGAGGGUGCGAGCGUUAAUCGGAAUUACUGGGCGUAAAGCGCGCGUAGGUGGCUUGAUAAGCCGGUUGUGAAAGCCCCUGGCUCAACCUGGGAACGGCAUCCGGAACUGUCAAGCUAGAGUGCAGGAGAGGAAGGUAGAAUUCCCGGUGUAGCGGUGAAAUGCGUAGAGAUCGGGAGGAAUACCAGUGGCGAAGGCGGCCUUCUGGACUGACACUGACACUGAGGUGCGAAAGCGUGGGUAGCAAACAGGAUUAGAUACCCUUGUAGUC
This 465-nucleotide ribosomal RNA is filed under the name Vreelandella stevensii. RNAcentral describes it as "partial 16S ribosomal RNA". It matches the Rfam family "Bacterial small subunit ribosomal RNA", at positions 338 to 795 of the family's 1533-position model. The record is from RNAcentral. Lineage: Bacteria; Pseudomonadati; Pseudomonadota; Gammaproteobacteria; Oceanospirillales; Halomonadaceae.